Molecule: ribosomal RNA, 483 nt
Filed under: uncultured Pantoea sp.
Lineage: Bacteria; Pseudomonadati; Pseudomonadota; Gammaproteobacteria; Enterobacterales; Erwiniaceae
Description: bacterial SSU rRNA
Rfam family: Bacterial small subunit ribosomal RNA
Source: RNAcentral
AUCUGCCCGAUAGAGGGGGAUAACCACUGGAAACGGUGGCUAAUACCGCAUAACGUCGCAAGACCAAAGAGGGGGACCUUCGGGCCUCUCACUAUCGGAUGAACCCAGAUGGGAUUAGCUAGUAGGCGGGGUAAUGGCCCACCUAGGCGACGAUCCCUAGCUGGUCUGAGAGGAUGACCAGCCACACUGGAACUGAGACACGGUCCAGACUCCUACGGGAGGCAGCAGUGGGGAAUAUUGCACAAUGGGCGCAAGCCUGAUGCAGCCAUGCCGCGUGUAUGAAGAAGGCCUUCGGGUUGUAAAGUACUUUCAGCGGGGAGGAAGGCGAUGCGGUUAAUAACCGCGUCGAUUGACGUUACCCGCAGAAGAAGCACCGGCUAACUCCGUGCCAGCAGCCGCGGUAAUACGGAGGGUGCAAGCGUUAAUCGGAAUUACUGGGCGUAAAGCGCACGCAGGCGGUCUGUUAAGUCAGAUGUGAAAUCC